GGAUAACACUUGGAAACAGGUGCUAAUACCGUAUAACACUAUUUUCCGCAUGGAAGAAAGUUGAAAGGCGCUUUUGCGUCACUGAUGGAUGGACCCGCGGUGCAUUAGCUAGUUGGUGAGGUAACGGCUCACCAAGGCCACGAUGCAUAGCCGACCUGAGAGGGUGAUCGGCCACACUGGGACUGAGACACGGCCCAGACUCCUACGGGAGGCAGCAGUAGGGAAUCUUCGGCAAUGGACGAAAGUCUGACCGAGCAACGCCGCGUGAGUGAAGAAGGUUUUCGGAUCGUAAAACUCUGUUGUUAGAGAAGAACAAGGAUGAGAGUAAAAUGUUCAUCCCUUGACGGUAUCUAUCCAGAAAGCCACGGCUAACUACGUGCCAGCAGCCGCGGUAAUACGUAGGUGGCAAGCGUUGUCCGGAUUUAUUGGGCGUAAAGCGAGCGCAGGCGGUUUCUUAAGUCUGAUGUGAAAGCCCCCGGCUCAACCGGGGAGGGUCAUUGGAAACUGGGAGACUUGAGUGCAGAAGAGGAGAGUGGAAUUCCAUGUGUAGCGGUGAAAUGCGUAGAUAUAUGGAGGAACACCAGUGGCGAAGGCGGCUCUCUGGUCUGUAACUGACGCUGAGGCUCGAAAGCGUGGGGAGCGAACAGGAUUAGAUACCCUGGUAGUCCACGCCGUAAACGAUGAGUAUAGAGUGUUGGAGGGUUUCCGCCCUUCAGUGCUGCA
Molecule: ribosomal RNA, 723 nt
Filed under: uncultured bacterium
Lineage: Bacteria
Description: bacterial SSU rRNA
Rfam family: Bacterial small subunit ribosomal RNA
Source: RNAcentral